Molecule: transfer RNA, 74 nt
Filed under: bacterium
Lineage: Bacteria
Description: tRNA-Arg
Rfam family: tRNA
About the family: Transfer RNA (tRNA) molecules are approximately 80 nucleotides in length. Their secondary structure includes four short double-helical elements and three loops (D, anti-codon, and T loops). Further hydrogen bonds mediate the characteristic L-shaped molecular structure. tRNAs have two regions of fundamental functional importance: the anti-codon, which is responsible for specific mRNA codon recognition, and the 3' end, to which the tRNAs corresponding amino acid is attached (by aminoacyl-tRNA synthetases). tRNAs cope with the degeneracy of the genetic code in two manners: having more than one tRNA (with a specific anti-codon) for a particular amino acid; and 'wobble' base-pairing, i.e. permitting non-standard base-pairing at the 3rd anti-codon position.
Source: RNAcentral
GCGCCCGUAGCUCAGCUGGAUAGAGCGACGGCCUCCGGAGCCGUAGGUCGGGGGUUCGAAUCCCUUCGGGCGUA